ACUACAUAAUUGUCGAAUUUCCGUACAUGGAAAACGGGGGAACCAUCUUGGGUGAAUUAAUCUUGCAAUUAAAGGAUUAUAGGGCACCUUCAACCGAACCCUUAGCUAACCUCGUAGGCAGCGAAGGGAGUAUAU
RNAcentral lists this small RNA (135 nucleotides) under Paenibacillus beijingensis. RNAcentral describes it as "c-di-AMP sequence". It matches the Rfam family "c-di-AMP riboswitch aptamer (ydaO/yuaA leader)". From Rfam's summary of the family: This family represents a conserved RNA structure found upstream of the ydaO and yuaA genes in Bacillus subtilis and related genes in other bacteria. The ydaO/yuaA element is thought to act as a genetic "off" switch for the ydaO and yuaA genes in its native state. It is believed that the element may be triggered during osmotic shock leading to activation of ydaO, a predicted amino acid transporter gene, and members of the yuaA-yubG operon which code for KtrA and KtrB K+ transporters. Lineage: Bacteria; Bacillati; Bacillota; Bacilli; Caryophanales; Paenibacillaceae. The record is from Rfam by way of RNAcentral.